This 481-nucleotide ribosomal RNA is filed under the name uncultured bacterium. RNAcentral describes it as "partial 16S ribosomal RNA". It matches the Rfam family "Bacterial small subunit ribosomal RNA", at positions 28 to 507 of the family's 1533-position model. The record is from RNAcentral.
GAUGAACGCUGGCGGCGUGCCUAACACAUGCAAGUCGAACGGAGAUUACGGACGGAAGUUUUCGGAUGGAAGACUGUAAUUCUUAGUGGCGGACGGGUGAGUAACGCGUGGGCAACCUGCCCUAUACAGGGGGAUAGCAGCUGGAAACGGCUGGUAAGACCGCAUAAGUCGGCGAGACCGCAUGGUUUUGCCGGGAAAUGAGCAAUCAGGUAUAGGAUGGGCCCGCGUCCGAUUAGCCAGUUGGCAGGGUAAAAGCCUACCAAAGCAACGAUCGGUAGCCGGACUGAGGAGUCGGACGGGCACAUUGGGAAUGAGACACGGCCCAAACUCCUACGGGAGGCAGCAGUGGGGGAUAUUGCACAAUGGAGGAAACUCUGAUGCAGCGACGCCGCGUGAGUGAAGAAGUAUUUCGGUAUGUAAAGCCCUAUCAGCAGGGAAGAUGAUGACGGUACCUGACUAAGAAGCCCCGGCUAACUACGUG